UAAUACCUUGCAUGGGUGUCAAUUUUGUUCCUACAUUUAUUAUAAGAGGGAGAGGGACUCCAAUGGUUUUGAAGUAAACCCACCGAUUGAAAAAUCGCCAGUGGGAAACGGAGUAAAUCAGGGACCUCACCCACCUGCGAGACUCCGCAGGCAACAAAAUCCACUUAUGCAGGGUUUUUU
This 180-nucleotide non-coding RNA is filed under the name bacterium. Its description in RNAcentral is "6S RNA". It matches the Rfam family "6S / SsrS RNA". From Rfam's summary of the family: E. coli 6S RNA was the first non coding RNA to be sequenced, but its function was unknown until recently. It consists of 184 nucleotides that fold into an extended hairpin structure with a large single-stranded internal bulge. The 6S RNA specifically associates with RNA polymerase holoenzyme containing the sigma70 specificity factor. The record is from RNAcentral.